AUUGAACGCUGGCGGAAUGCUUUACACAUGCAAGUCGAACGGUAGAGGGGGCAACCCCCUUGAGAGUGGCGAACGGGUGAGUAAUAUAUCGGAACGUGCCCAGUCGUGGGGAUAACGUAGCGAAAGCUACGCUAAUACCGCAUACGAUCUACGGAUGAAAGCGGGGGAUCGCAAGACCUCGCGCGAUUGGAGCGGCCGAUAUCAGAUUAGGUAGUUGGUGAGGUAAAGGCUCACCAAGCCGACGAUCUGUAGCUGGUCUGAGAGGACGACCAGCCACACUGGGACUGAGACACGGCCCAGACUCCUACGGGAGGCAGCAGUGGGAAUUUUGGACAAUGGCGCAAGCCUGAUCCAGCAAUGCCGCGUGCAGGAUGAAGGCCUC
RNAcentral lists this ribosomal RNA (382 nucleotides) under uncultured bacterium. Its description in RNAcentral is "bacterial SSU rRNA". It matches the Rfam family "Bacterial small subunit ribosomal RNA", at positions 30 to 418 of the family's 1533-position model. The record is from RNAcentral.